Molecule: ribosomal RNA, 496 nt
Filed under: uncultured bacterium
Lineage: Bacteria
Description: bacterial SSU rRNA
Rfam family: Bacterial small subunit ribosomal RNA
Source: RNAcentral
GAUGAACGCUGGCGGCGUGCUUAACACAUGCAAGUCGAACGGGGUUAUUUUUGGAGUGGAAUAGUUUACUAUGAAGCGAAGGGAAUAACUUAGUGGCGGACGGGUGAGUAACGCGUGAGGACCUGUCCUUUGCAGGGGGACAACAGCUGGAAACGGCUGCUAAUACCGCAUAUGCCUGUAAGGGUGAAAUGGAUUUAUUCCGGCAGGGGAGGGACUCGCGUCCUAUCAGCUAGUAGGUUGGGUAACGGCCGACCUAGGCGAAGACGGGUAGCCGGCCUGAGAGGGCGCACGGCCACACUGGGACUGAGAUACGGCCCAGACUCCUACGGGAGGCAGCAGUGGGGAAUAUUGGGCAAUGGGGGGAACCCUGACCCAGCGACGCCGCGUGAGUGAUGAAGUCUUUCGGGACGUAAAGCUCUUUUGUACGGGAAGAAGGGCGUGACGGUACCGUACGAAUAAGCCCCGGCAAACUACGUGCCAGCCGCCGCAGUAAGAC